GACGAACGCUGGCGGCGUGCUUAACACAUGCAAGUCGAACGGUGAAGCCCUUCGGGGUGGAUCAGUGGCGAACGGGUGAGUAACACGUGAGCAACCUGCCCCUGGCUCUGGGACAACCACUGGAAACGGUGGCUAAUACCGGAUACGACCCGCCUCGGCAUCGAGUGUGGGUGGAAAGUUUUGCGGCUGGGGAUGGGCUCGCGGCCUAUCAGCUUGUUGGUGUGGUGAAGGCUCACCAAGGCGACGACGGGUAGCCGGCCUGAGAGGGCGACCGGCCACACUGGGACUGAGACACGGCCCAGACUCCUACGGGAGGCAGCAGUGGGGAAUAUUGCACAAUGGGCGAAAGCCUGAUGCAGCGACGCCGCGUGAGGGAUGACGGCCUUCGGGUUGUAAACCUCUUUCAGCUCCGAAGAAGCGAAAGUGACGGUAGGAGCAGAAGAAGCACCGGCUAACUACGUG
Molecule: ribosomal RNA, 462 nt
Filed under: uncultured bacterium
Lineage: Bacteria
Description: partial 16S ribosomal RNA
Rfam family: Bacterial small subunit ribosomal RNA
Source: RNAcentral